UACGUAGGGUGCGAGCGUUAAUCGGAAUUACUGGGCGUAAAGCGUGCGCAGGCGGUGAUGUAAGACAGGUGUGAAAUCCCCGGGCUUAACCUGGGAACUGCAUUUGUGACUGCAUCGCUGGAGUGCGGCAGAGGGGGAUGGAAUUCCGCGUGUAGCAGUGAAAUGCGUAGAUAUGCGGAGGAACACCGAUGGCGAAGGCAAUCCCCUGGGCCUGCACUGGACGCUCAUGCACGAAAGCGUGGGGAGCAAACAGGA
Molecule: ribosomal RNA, 255 nt
Filed under: uncultured bacterium
Lineage: Bacteria
Description: partial 16S ribosomal RNA
Rfam family: Bacterial small subunit ribosomal RNA
Source: RNAcentral